AGGAAUUUAGGCUAAACAAGAGACCAAGGGCCUUCAAAGCCCUCAGUGGGAGUGGAACCCUCCCAAUCCCUG
Molecule: transfer RNA, 72 nt
Filed under: Apistogramma cacatuoides
Lineage: Eukaryota; Metazoa; Chordata; Actinopteri; Cichliformes; Cichlidae
Description: tRNA-Trp
Rfam family: tRNA
About the family: Transfer RNA (tRNA) molecules are approximately 80 nucleotides in length.
Source: RNAcentral